This 629-nucleotide ribosomal RNA is filed under the name Salmonella enterica. RNAcentral's name for it is "partial 23S ribosomal RNA". It matches the Rfam family "Bacterial large subunit ribosomal RNA", at positions 711 to 1336 of the family's 2925-position model. Lineage: Bacteria; Pseudomonadati; Pseudomonadota; Gammaproteobacteria; Enterobacterales; Enterobacteriaceae. The record is from RNAcentral.
AGACCCGAAACCCGGUGAUCUAGCCAUGGGCAGGUUGAAGGUUGGGUAACACUAACUGGAGGACCGAACCGACUAAUGUUGAAAAAUUAGCGGAUGACCUGUGGCUGGGGGUGAAAGGCCAAUCAAACCGGGAGAUAGCUGGUUCUCCCCGAAAGCUAUUUAGGUAGCGCCUCGUGAAUUCAUCUCCGGGGGUAGAGCACUGUUUCGGCUAGGGGGCCAUCCCGGCUUACCAACCCGAUGCAAACUGCGAAUACCGGAGAAUGUUAUCACGGGAGACACACGGCGGGUGCUAACGUCCGUCGUGAAGAGGGAAACAACCCAGACCGCCAGCUAAGGUCCCAAAGUCAUGGUUAAGUGGGAAACGAUGUGGGAAGGCCCAGACAGCCAGGAUGUUGGCUUAGAAGCAGCCAUCAUUUAAAGAAAGCGUAAUAGCUCACUGGUCGAGUCGGCCUGCGCGGAAGAUGUAACGGGGCUAAACCAUGCACCGAAGCUGCGGCAGCGACGCUGAUGCGUUGUUGGGUAGGGGAGCGUUCUGUAAGCCUGCGAAGGUGGCCUGUGAGGGUUGCUGGAGGUAUCAGAAGUGCGAAUGCUGACAUAAGUAACGAUAAAGCGGGUGAAAAGCCCGCUCG